This 484-nucleotide ribosomal RNA is filed under the name uncultured bacterium. Its description in RNAcentral is "partial 16S ribosomal RNA". It matches the Rfam family "Bacterial small subunit ribosomal RNA", at positions 28 to 523 of the family's 1533-position model. The record is from RNAcentral.
GACGAACGCUGGCGGCGUGCUUAACACAUGCAAGUCGAACGAUGAAGCCGGAGCUUGCUCUGGUGAAUUAGUGGCAAACGGGUGAGUAACACGUGAGUAACCUGCCCUUGACUCUGGGAUAACUGCGGGAAACUGUAGCUAAUACCGGAUACGACCCUCGGAGGCAUCUCCUGGGGGUGGAAAGAACUUCGGUCAAGGAUGGACUCGCGGCCUAUCAGCUAGUUGGUGAGGUAAAGGCUCACCAAGGCGACGACGGGUAGCCGGCCUGAGAGGGUGACCGGCCACACUGGGACUGAGACACGGCCCAGACUCCUACGGGAGGCAGCAGUGGGGAAUAUUGCACAAUGGGCGCAAGCCUGAUGCAGCAACGCCGCGUGAGGGAUGACGGCCUUCGGGUUGUAAACCUCAUUUAGCAGGGAAGAAGCGAAAGUGACGGUACCUGCAGAAAAAGCACCGGCUAACUACGUGCCAGCCGCCGCCGUAA